RNAcentral lists this ribosomal RNA (384 nucleotides) under Triticum aestivum (bread wheat). RNAcentral describes it as "partial small subunit ribosomal RNA". The record is from RNAcentral. Lineage: Eukaryota; Viridiplantae; Streptophyta; Magnoliopsida; Poales; Poaceae.
AUGAAGGCAUACACGGCGGCCGAGGACAAGCUUCUUUGUGAGUGUUGGAGGGACAUUGGGCAAGACCCUGAGGUUGGCGCCGAACAAAAGGCAUCAACCUUUUGGAUUCAUGUCCAUCGUGAGUUCCAUGAAUGGAAGAAGUUUGUGCCGUACCAAAUGCAUAACACGCGCGAGUGGGUGUCCAUUUCGAAGCGAUGGAGGGUGAUACAACAAGAGUGCAACAAGUUUUGUGCCACUUUUGAGAGCAUCAAGGCACGUCCCGUGAGCGGCAUCGGCAUGCAAGACAUGGUAUGCAUGUGCCCCUCUUUGUUUUCAUUCCAUUUAUGCUUGCAUGUCCAUUUGCAUAUCCAUUUGUCAAUAUGCUUGCAUGCUAUUACUUUGUAG